This 2335-nucleotide ribosomal RNA is filed under the name human gut metagenome. Its description in RNAcentral is "bacterial LSU rRNA". It matches the Rfam family "Bacterial large subunit ribosomal RNA", at positions 502 to 2829 of the family's 2925-position model. The record is from RNAcentral.
CGUGAGGGAAAGGUGAAAAGAACCCCGGGAGGGGAGUGAAAUAGUACCUGAAACCGUAUGUCUACAAGCAGUCGAAGCGAAAGCGACGGCGUGCCUAUUGAAGAAUGAACCAACGAGUUAUCUGCACUAGCGAGGUUAAGUGGAAGACACGGAGCCGUAGCGAAAGCGAGUCUUAAGAGGGCGCUAGUUAGUGUAGGUAGACCCGAAACCGCAGUGAUCUACCCAUGUCCAGGUUGAAGCGCAGGUAAAAUUGCGUGGAGGACCGAACCGGUGAGCGUUGAAAAGCUUUCGGAUGAGAUGUGGGUAGGGGUGAAAUUCCAAUCGAACGCGGAGAUAGCUGGUUCUCCCCGAAAUAGCUUUAGGGCUAGCCUGAGGUAGUAAGUAUAGGCGGUAGAGCACUGAUCGGGCUAGGGGCCGUAAAGGUUACCGAACCCUGUCAAACUCCGAAUGGAUAUACUGUAGAGCCUUGGAGUCAGACUACGAGUGAUAAGAUCCGUGGUCAAAAGGGAAACAGCCCAGACCACCAGCUAAGGUCCCCAAUGUCGUACUAAGUGGAAAAGGAUGUGGGGUUUCAUAAACAACCAGGAUGUUGGCUCAGAAGCAGCCACCAUUUAAAGAGUGCGUAAUAGCUCACUGGUCGAGAGACCCUGCGCCGAAGAUUCCCGGGGCUAAAGUACGAAACCGAAGCUGUGGCUGUAUACGUAAAGUAUACGGGGUAGGGGAGCGUUCCCAUAGGGUAGAAGUCGAACUGGAAGGUUCGGUGGACUUGUGGGAAGUGAGAAUGUUGGUAUGAGUAGCGAAAAGAAAGGUGAGAAUCCUUUCCACCGAAAGCAUAAGGAUUCCUGAGCAACGAUCGUCGUCUCAGGGUAAGUCGGGACCUAAUCCGAGGCAGAGAGCGUAGGAGAUGGACAACUGGUUGAUAUUCCAGUACCGGUAGUAAUUGUUUGAGCAAUGGAGUGACACAGAAGGGCAGGCAAGCAUGCGAAUGGAAGAGCAUGUGUAAGCGUGUAGGGUGGUGCAUAGGCAAAUCCGUGCACUGAAAGCCUGAGGCGUGAUGCGGAGUGAGCAGAGAUGCGAGCGAAGUUGUUGACCCCACACUGUCGAGAAAAGCUUCUAGUGAGAGAGCUACCGCCCGUACCGUAAACCGACACAGGUAUGCGGGGAGAGAAUCCUAAGGUGCGCGGGAGAACCCUCGUUAAGGAACUCGGCAAAAUGUACCCGUAACUUCGGGAUAAGGGUAGCCACUGUUGUGAAGUCCCAUGCGGAUGGAGCAUAGAGUGGUCGCAGAGAAGAGGCCCAAGCGACUGUUUACCAUAAACACAGGUGCCUGCUAAAGCGAAAGCUGACGUAUAGGUGCUGACACCUGCCCAGUGCCGGAAGGUUAAGGAAGGAUGUUCGGAUUAGUCCAAAGCAUUCGACUGAAGCCCCGGUGAACGGCGGCCGUAACUAUAACGGUCCUAAGGUAGCGAAAUUCCUUGUCGGGUAAGUUCCGACCCGCACGAAAGGUGUAACGAUUUGGGCACUGUCUCAACGAGGGACCCGGUGAAAUUGAAAUACCUGUGAAGAUGCAGGUUACCCGCGACUGGACAGAAAGACCCCAUGGAGCUUUACUGUAACCUGACAUUGGGUUUUGAUACAUUACGUACAGGAUAGGUGGGAGGCAUGGAAAGCUGGACGCUAGUCUGGCUGGAGCCGACGUUGGGAUACCACCCUUGAUGUAUUGAAAUUCUAACCGCGAGAGUAACGAAAUCCGGGACAGUGUCAGGCGGGCAGUUUGACUGGGGCGGUCGCCUCCGAAAGAGUAACGGAGGCGCCCAAAGGUUCCCUCAGCGCGGCCGGAAAUCGCGCGAAGAGUGUAAAGGCAGAAGGGAGCUUGACUGCGAGUCAAACACGACGAGCAGGUACGAAAGUAGGGCUUAGUGAUCCGGUGGUACCGAGUGGAAGGGCCAUCGCUCAACGGAUAAAAGCUACCCUGGGGAUAACAGGCUAAUCUCUCCCAAGAGUCCAUAUCGACGGGGAGGUUUGGCACCUCGAUGUCGGCUCAUCACAUCCUGGGGCUGAAGUCGGUCCCAAGGGUUGGGCUGUUCGCCCAUUAAAGUGGUACGUGAGCUGGGUUCAGAACGUCGUGAGACAGUUCGGUCCCUAUCCAUCGCGGGCGCAAGAGAUUUGAAGGGGGCUGCUCCUAGUACGAGAGGACCGGAGUGGACGAACCGCUGGUGUACCAAUUAUCCCGCCAGGGGUACAGUUGGGUAGCUACGUUCGGAAAGGAUAAACGCUGAAAGCAUCUAAGCGUGAAACCAGCCUUAAGAUGAGAUCUCUCAUAGAGCAAUCUAGU